RNAcentral lists this long non-coding RNA (594 nucleotides) under Cavia porcellus (domestic guinea pig). Its description in RNAcentral is "lncRNA (ENSCPOG00000036432.1)". The record is from RNAcentral. Lineage: Eukaryota; Metazoa; Chordata; Mammalia; Rodentia; Caviidae.
AAUAUUUAAUAAAGUCAGUGAGUGAAAAGUAAGUUUUCCUUUACAUCAAACUUUCUUUAAAGGUUGAAGGAAAAAGAAAGAGUGGAAAAACUGACACCCAGCAGUUGCCUACUGAGAAGAAAGAAGAACAUGAUAGGUUUCACUUCAGACUUGUCUUAAAAGAAGAAGACAAGAAAAAAAGUCUCAAGGAAAAAUGUUCUCAAGAAGUUAAAGCAAAACAACAGCUUGAAAUUUCUUAUGCAACACUUGAAAUGGAAGUGAAGGCUUGAAAAGUGAAUCAGGUAAAUUAAUCUUUGAUGAAAAUUUUAUAUUGCUGUUGUAUCGGCAUUGUAGUAUUUCUUUGAUUGCAUAUUUACUCAUGCAUUGCUUACAUUGAGAACAUGAUCCAAAGCAUGUGUGGUUUGUUAUUUUCAUUAUUAUCCAAAUGUAAGCAGGUGGCCACACACACUUACAUCUCCCACAUCACUGGGCAAUAUCGUUUCAAGGACCAUAGUUGAGCAUGCAGUCCAGUGUUGAACAAAACAUUCUUAUACAUCACACGUCCCUAUUAUGUGGGUUGAAAACAAAAUGUUAAAUCACCCUCAGAAAACCUCA